UGAAUGACCACAGGAAAAAAAUAUAUAUAUGUAUAUAUAUUUUUUCUUCUUCUUCUUCUCUCGAACAGUAAUUAUUGGUAUAAAUGAGCUUUGUGAAGUCGACUGUUCAGUGCCCUGAAUAUCAGCUGCUUGAAAACAUCUGAAAACAAAGACAUUCAUUUACAUCUCUGUCCAUGUUACCCUCCUGAACAUGUGUGCCUGUUACAUAUAUCUUUGGAAUAUUGUCCAGGAAAUCAGACAGCUCUCACCACUUGAUAUUGGAUCCCUCUCACAUACGUGAAGUGUCCUCAGCAGGAAAAGCUUUAACCAUGGAUCGAUUUUCACACCACGUUUCAAUGGAGAACAUGAACUCAGGCCACAGAACUGUAACACUUAGAAGACUCUGUGGAAUACGAACACUUCUCUGAUUUAUCCUCAUGAAAUUGUUUUCCUGAUGAAAGGAGUGUUCUUCAGAAGAAUACAGAAUGGAUAUCUCUUUGUUGGAGAACAACCGUAUUUUUGUUUUAAAAUGAUAUUAAAAUAAAUACAUUUACUUCAA
Homo sapiens (human) is the source of this 538-nucleotide long non-coding RNA. Ensembl annotates it as PCDH9 antisense RNA 2. Its record names the gene PCDH9-AS2. Lineage: Eukaryota; Metazoa; Chordata; Mammalia; Primates; Hominidae. The record is from Ensembl.